RNAcentral lists this long non-coding RNA (893 nucleotides) under Mytilus galloprovincialis (Mediterranean mussel). The record is from RNAcentral. Lineage: Eukaryota; Metazoa; Mollusca; Bivalvia; Mytilida; Mytilidae.
CAGAGAACAAUUGAAGGUCUUUCAACUAAUAAAGAUCUAUUUUGAUAUGAAAAUAUUAAAAUUCAGUUGAAAAUGUCAGUUCCUAUGGCUUUAUGAUGAAUAAAUAUGAAUUUAAAGCAAAGGUCAAAAUCUAGAACGUCCAAUUAACCUUUGACCUUGACCUCAAUUUCAAGGUCAUAGACUAAACAUCUCGAAUCAAAAGACACUAGUUCCUUAAUAUGUAUGGUUUCUGAGUAAUAUCACUUUACGCAUAAUUCUAAAUAUAAGAGGGGCAAAAACUCCCAUUUAUUGUCUACGCACCCUUGCAACCAAAAUUUAUAAGUUACAACAUGUCGCAACUAACAAUUUAGUAAAAAUAAUUUGUUGAUAUCUUAUAAGGUUAAUGAAAAUAAGUGAAAAUAAGCCAAAAUCAAAAUUUACAAUUUGACCUUGACCUUUGACCUUGACCUAAUUUUCAUUUUUUUGGACCAAGGAUCUUAAAUCAAAGUACCCUAGGUCUCUAUCACUUGUGGUUUUCCAGUUUAAAAUACAUUUCAAAAUUUCAAAUACAAAAGGGGAAAUAACUCUCAUAUGGAAUCUCUAUACGGCUUCGGUCAAAAUAAAACAGCACAUCCUGAGGAUAUAAUGAGCAAGUUGCAAAAAUAAAUUUGUCGGUUUUUUAUACGGUUGUGAAGAUUACGCGAUAACAAGAAAAACAGUGUUUGGGGAGAUAACUCUUAUAUGGGAAAGAUUUUGGUUACGCGGAGUCAGUUACAAAAGCGUAAUAACUGUUCGAUAUCAUAUACCAUAUGUCUUAGCGACAUCUUGCGAAACAAAAAUACAGCGAAGGAAAAAAAAGUUGGCGGAAGAAAAAAAAAAAUAAUUAAAAUGUCAAUUGUUCUUGAACAAUUGAG